UUCACAGAUUAAUCCAACACGUUUCAGACAUGAAUUAAUCUCAUUAAUACAUCUCAACAGUUUAUGUAAUAGAUACUAUAGAGAAAUAAAAGAAGCAAAUUACACUACUAGUCAGAAUGGGACGGUGUGUCCUAAUCACGGACUGAUACCGUACAUGAAAGUUGAUUUGUGUUCAACAGAGCUAUGUGUGCGCAGGGGCGUCGCAGCCGUGAGUGUUACGGGUGUUGUGACACCCGCACUUUCACAGCAAACAUAAUUGGUAGUUAUUGAUGAAACGAAACUGAGUUUCCCAUACAUGAAGAACCUAUUGGUCAAGUUAGAUUAAUUGAACAGUCAUCCAGCCAAUCACAGCCGUUUGACCAAUCCACCAGACCAGGGAAGAGUAAACAGUUGAAGUAUAGUAAAGUUACGUUUGUGCAUUCAGCAACGAUGCUUCUGUUACUCACCGCUGGCUGUGAUAACAGAUUAGAGAAUAAGAGAUCAGAGCUUUGAGGAAGACUUCAGAUGAAGAGGGACCACUUCUUCCCUGUGGCUGUUGGAGAGGAAUUUGCACCUGCUGAUACAAAACCUCCUGGACAACUUUAGAUAUUUAAUUUCCCAAUUAAAGACAAUUAAAGGUCCCCUUUGGAUUCCUACUAAAAGAGACACUUUUUUAAAGAAAAAUGAAGACAGUUUAGGUUGUACUAGUCCAUGGACUCAGAAAUGACUCUUAACUGAUACUGAUUUGUUACCAGGGUUCAAUUUGUUAUGCAUCUAUAACCAUCCAUUUCAUUUUAAUGGAAGUGUAAGUUUCCUUUAAUUUCAUGUCUAUAAGGUAUGUGAGGAAGUAGGAUAAAGAUACUCUGUGAUUAUCUUAAGUAUAAUAAGGAUAGCUAUGCUCCAGUACAGCAAUUCAUACAAAUAACUGGAUGUAAGUAGUAAACUGCUAUGAGACCCUAAAUAAAUUCUGCUCAGUUGUUACACUCA
Thunnus maccoyii (southern bluefin tuna) is the source of this 966-nucleotide long non-coding RNA. RefSeq lists it as uncharacterized. The record is from RefSeq and is a predicted model, not a curated record. NCBI's taxonomy places the organism in Eukaryota, Metazoa, Chordata, Actinopteri, Scombriformes, Scombridae. The transcript is spliced from 2 exons.